AGCGAACGCUGGCGGCAGGCCUAACACAUGCAAGUCGAACGAACCUUUCGGGGUUAGUGGCGGACGGGUUAGUAACACGUGGGAACGUGCCUUUAGGUUCGGAAUAACUCAGGGAAACUUGUGCUAAUACCGAAUGUGCCCUUCGGGGGAAAGAUUUAUCGCCUUUAGAGCGGCCCGCGUCUGAUUAGCUAGUUGGUUGAGGUAAUGGCUCACCAAGGCGACGAUCAGUAGCUGGUCUGAGAGGAUGAUCAGCCACAUUGGGACUGAGACACGGCCCAAACUCCUACGGGAGGCAGCAGUGGGGAAUCUUGCGCAAUGGGCGAAAGCCUGACGCAGCCAUGCCGCGUGAAUGAUGAAGGUCUUAGGAUUGUAAAAUUCUUUCAACGGGGACGAUAAUGACGGUACCCGGAGAAGAAGCCCCGGCUAACUUCGUG
RNAcentral lists this ribosomal RNA (434 nucleotides) under uncultured bacterium. RNAcentral describes it as "partial 16S ribosomal RNA". It matches the Rfam family "Bacterial small subunit ribosomal RNA", at positions 29 to 507 of the family's 1533-position model. The record is from RNAcentral.